This 404-nucleotide ribosomal RNA is filed under the name uncultured bacterium. RNAcentral's name for it is "bacterial SSU rRNA". It matches the Rfam family "Bacterial small subunit ribosomal RNA", at positions 355 to 775 of the family's 1533-position model. The record is from RNAcentral.
UGAGGAAUAUUGCCCAAUGGACGCAAGUCUGAGGCAGCAACGCCGCGUGGGCGAUGAAGGCCUUCGGGUUGUAAAGCCCUUUUCUGGGGGAAGAGGAAGGACGGUACCUCAGGAAUAAGUCACGGCUAACUACGUGCCAGCAGCCGCGGUAAUACGUAGGUGGCAAGCGUUAUCCGGAUUCACUGGGCGUAAAGCGCGUGCAGGCGGUUUCGUAAGUCGGACGUGAAAGCUCCUGGCCUAACUGGGAGAGGUCGUUCAAUACUUCCGGACUUGAGAGUGGGAGAGGGAGGUGGAAUUCCGGGUGUAGUGGUGAAAUGCGUAGAUAUCCGGAGGAACACCAGUGGCGAAAGCGGCCUCCUGGCCCAUUUCUGACGCUCAGACGCGAAAGCUAGGGUAGCAAACGG